UGCAGCGACGCCGCGUGAGGGAUGACGGCCUUCGGGUUGUAAACCUCUUUCAAUAGGGACGAAGCGUGAGUGACGGUACCUAUAGAAGAAGCACCGGCCAACUACGUGCCAGCAGCCGCGGUAAUACGUAGGGUGCGAGCGUUGUCCGGAAUUACUGGGCGUAAAGAGCUCGUAGGUGGUUUGUCGCGUUGUUCGUGAAAACUCACAGCUCAACUGUGGGCGUGCGGGCGAUACGGGCAGACUGGAGUACUGCAGGGGAGACUGGAAUUCCUGGUGUAGCGGUGGAAUGCGCAGAUAUCAGGAGGAACACCGGUGGCGAAGGCGGGUCUCUGGGCAGUAACUGACGCUGAGGAGCGAAAGCGUGGGGAGCGAACAGGAUUAGAUACCCUGGUAGUCCACGCCGUAAACGGUGGGUACUAGGUGUGGGUUUCCUUCCUUGGGAUCCGUGCCGUAGCUAACGCAUUAAGUACCCCGCCUGGGGAGUACGGCCGCAAGGCUAAAACUCAAAGAAAUUGACGGGGGCCCGCACAAGCGGCGGAGCAUGUGGAUUAAUUCGAUGCAACGCGAAGAACCUUACCUGGGUUUGACAUGCACAGGACGCCGGCAGAGAUGUCGGUUCCCUUGUGGCC
This 629-nucleotide ribosomal RNA is filed under the name Mycobacterium sp. Se1Pw_3186. Its description in RNAcentral is "bacterial SSU rRNA". It matches the Rfam family "Bacterial small subunit ribosomal RNA", at positions 387 to 1028 of the family's 1533-position model. The record is from RNAcentral. Lineage: Bacteria; Bacillati; Actinomycetota; Actinomycetes; Mycobacteriales; Mycobacteriaceae.